UCCGUAGGCGGACUAAUAAGUCAGGGGUGAAAUCCAACAGCUUAACUGUUGAACUGCCUUUGAUACUGUUAGUCUUGAAUUAUAUGGAAGUAGAUAGAAUGUGUAGUGUAGCAGUGAAAUGCUUAGAGAUUACACAGAAUACCGAUUGCGAAGGCAGUCUACUACGUAUAUAUUGACGCUAAUGGACGAAAGCGUGGGGAGCGAACAGGAUUAGAUACCCUGGUAGUC
Molecule: ribosomal RNA, 228 nt
Filed under: uncultured bacterium
Lineage: Bacteria
Description: partial 16S ribosomal RNA
Rfam family: Bacterial small subunit ribosomal RNA
Source: RNAcentral